This 566-nucleotide ribosomal RNA is filed under the name anaerobic ammonium-oxidizing planctomycete GR-WP54-11. RNAcentral's name for it is "bacterial SSU rRNA". It matches the Rfam family "Bacterial small subunit ribosomal RNA", at positions 978 to 1533 of the family's 1533-position model. The record is from RNAcentral. Lineage: Bacteria; Pseudomonadati; Planctomycetota; Planctomycetia; Planctomycetales.
GGCUUGACAUGGUAGAAGUAGAAUCCUGAAAGGGUGACGAUCGGUAUCCAGUCCGAAGCUAUCACAGGUGUUGCAUGGCUGUCGUCAGCUCGUGUCGUGAGACGUUGGGUUAAGUCCCCUAACGAGCGAAACCCUUGUCUUUAGUUGCUAACGGGUAAUGCUGAGCACUUUAGAGAGACUGCCGUCGUUAAGACGGAGGAAGGUGGGGACGACGUCAAGUCAUCAUGGCCCUUAUGUCCCGGGCUGCACACGUGCUACAAUGGUCGGUACAAAGGGAUGCUAAGUCGCGAGAUGGUGCGAAACCUAUAAAGCCGAUCUCAGUUCAGAUUGGAGGCUGAAACUCGCCUCCAUGAAGUUGGAAUCGCUAGUAAUCGCGGAUCAGCUACGCCGCGGUGAAUAUGUUCCCGAGCCUUGUACACACCGCCCGUCAAGCCACCCAAGCAAGAUGCACCCAAAAUCGCCUGCCUAACCCGUAAGGGAGGGAAGUGCCUAAGGUGUGUUUUGUGAGGAGGACUAAGUCGUAACAAGGUAGUCGUAGGAGAACCUGCGGCUGGAUCACCUCCUUU